UUUGACCUCAAAUCAGGUAGACAGCCCCGGUCC
RNAcentral lists this ribosomal RNA (33 nucleotides) under Candida albicans. RNAcentral describes it as "partial 28S ribosomal RNA". Lineage: Eukaryota; Fungi; Ascomycota; Pichiomycetes; Serinales; Debaryomycetaceae. The record is from RNAcentral.